RNAcentral lists this ribosomal RNA (274 nucleotides) under uncultured bacterium. RNAcentral's name for it is "partial 16S ribosomal RNA". It matches the Rfam family "Bacterial small subunit ribosomal RNA", at positions 523 to 796 of the family's 1533-position model. The record is from RNAcentral.
AAACGUAGGGGGCAAGCGUUAUCCGGAAUUACUGGGCGUAAAGCGCAUGUAGGCGGUUUGCUAAGAUAGCCGUGAAAGCUCCCGGCUUAACUGGGAGAGGUCGGUUGUGACUGGCAAACUUGAGUAGGGUAGAGGAGAGCGGAAUUCCCGGUGUAGUGGUGGAAUGCGUAGAGAUCGGGAGGAACACCAGUGGCGAAAGCGGCUCUCUGGACGAUGACUGACGCUGAGACGCGAAAGCGUGGGGAGCAAACAGGAUUAGAAACCCCGGUAGUCC